ACGGGUGAGUAACACGUAAAGAACCUGCCUUAUAGACUGGGACAACUAUUGGAAACGAUAGCUAAUACCGGAUAACAGCAUUAACUGCAUGGUUGAUGUUUGAAAGUUGGUUUUGCUAACACUAUGAGAUGGCUUUGCGGUGCAUUAGCUAGUUGGUGGGGUAAAGGCCUACCAAGGCAACGAUGCAUAGCCGACCUGAGAGGGUGAUCGGCCACACUGGGACUGAGACACGGCCCAGACUCCUACGGGAGGCAGCAGUAGGGAAUCUUCCGCAAUGGGCGAAAGCCUGACGGAGCAACGCCGCGUGAGUGAAGAAGGAUUUCGGUUCGUAAAGCUCUGUUGUUAGGGAAGAAUGAUUGUGUAGUAACUAUACACAGUAGAGACGGUACCUAACCAGAAAGCCACGGCUAACUACGUGCCAGCGGCCGCGGUAAUACGUAGGUGGCAAGCGUUGUCCGGAAUUAUUGGGCGUAAAGCGCGCGCAGGCGGAUAGGUCAGUCUGUCUUAAAAGUUCGGGGCUUAACCCCGUGAUGGGAUGGAAACUGCCAAUCUAGAGUAUCGGAGAGGAAAGUGGAAUUCCUAGUGUAGCGGUGAAAUGCGUAGAUAUUAGGAAGAACACCAGUGGCGAAGGCGACUUUCUGGACGAAAACUGACGCUGAGGCGCGAAAGCCAGGGGAGCGAACGGGAUUAGAUACCCC
This 698-nucleotide ribosomal RNA is filed under the name uncultured bacterium. Its description in RNAcentral is "bacterial SSU rRNA". It matches the Rfam family "Bacterial small subunit ribosomal RNA", at positions 102 to 788 of the family's 1533-position model. The record is from RNAcentral.